RNAcentral lists this long non-coding RNA (790 nucleotides) under Ananas comosus (pineapple). RNAcentral's name for it is "long non-coding RNA (ACOM_LNC008231)". Lineage: Eukaryota; Viridiplantae; Streptophyta; Magnoliopsida; Poales; Bromeliaceae. The record is from RNAcentral.
UAUCAAAUUGUUCUUAAUGAUAGGAAUUCCGAAUCGAUAAUCGGAGCCGUUGAAGUUGAUUUAGAGUAUUUAAAAUAUCUAGAAAUUAAAUUUUACAAAUUUUAAAAAUUAUUUACAUGGUGAUCAAAGUGUCAUAAAAUCGACAAUUUUUGACGACUAUAUGAGCCGUUUGCUUGUUUAACGGUGUAGAGUAAUCCAAAUUACUUGAAUUUUUGACAGAAAAUUUUUUAUACUAUUUAGAUAAUGUUUGAUAACUCUGAUUAUGAAUUAAGAAAGUCUAACCUCUAUUUUAAGAAGAUUAUUCAUUUAUAACCGUUUAUUUUUUCGACUAUUCGAUAGACUUGAUAAUGAUUUUUAAAUAUUACAAAAUUUGAUUUCUAAAUAUUUCCAAUUGUAUAGAUCAAUUUCAACAAUGCCGAUCAAUUAUCAAUUUGAAGUUCCGAUCAUUCAAAUCGACUUAAUAGGACAAUAUCCUCAAUCCUAUUAAUAGGAUAGUAGAUGGACUCCAUAUGUAGAGAGGAAGAGAUCAAUUGAGCUUGUAUAUUUUUAAAAGUACCAAAUUAUUAGUGCUUAUAGAUUUUCGGCCCUUAAAUGAAAGAAUGUGCAGUUAGGAUGAUAAUAAUUCUCUAGAAUUAAAUAGAUGGUUGAUGAAAUAGCAUAAUAUAAGGGAUAAAAUUGGUGAAAAGAAUAGAUAUAACUAUGAGAAACUUAUUAGGAACAAAUACUUAGUGUUUUUAAAAACACCAUAGCCGAACUUAUAUAUACAUAUGUGUGUGCGUGAGCGCACGCG